CCUACGGGUGGCAGCAGUGGGGAAUAUUGGACAAUGGGCGAAAGCCUGAUCCAGCCAUGCCGCGUGUGUGAAGAAGGCCUUCGGGUUGUAAAGCACUUUCAGUGGGGAAGAAAGCCUUGGGGCUAAUACCCUCGAGGAAGGACAUCACCCACAGAAGAAGCACCGGCUAACUCCGUGCCAGCAGCCGCGGUAAUACGGAGGGUGCGAGCGUUAAUCGGAAUUACUGGGCGUAAAGCGCGCGUAGGCGGUCUGAUAAGCCGGUUGUGAAAGCCCCGGGCUCAACCUGGGAACGGCAUCCGGAACUGUCAGGCUAGAGUGCAGGAGAGGAAGGUAGAAUUCCCGGUGUAGCGGUGAAAUGGGUAGAGAUCGGGAGGAAUACCAGUGGCGAAGGCGGCCUUCUGGACUGACACUGACGCUGGGGUGCGAAAGCGUGGGUAGCAAACAGGAUUAGAUACCCCAUAGUC
This 464-nucleotide ribosomal RNA is filed under the name Vreelandella stevensii. RNAcentral describes it as "partial 16S ribosomal RNA". It matches the Rfam family "Bacterial small subunit ribosomal RNA", at positions 338 to 795 of the family's 1533-position model. The record is from RNAcentral. Lineage: Bacteria; Pseudomonadati; Pseudomonadota; Gammaproteobacteria; Oceanospirillales; Halomonadaceae.